CAGCAAUGAUAAGAGGAGUAUCUCCGUUAUCAUCCCGCAGGUUGACAAUGCAGCGGGCGCUGAGUAACAGCUCAGCCAGCUGUCAUGCAAGAUGGUUGAGAUCAGCUGCACCACCUUGACAUUGGAUCGCGAGACAGCCACAAUGAGAGCAGUGCGAUCAGAGCUGUCCAGGGAGUCAAUCUUUGCUCCAUGACACAGUAACAAUUCCACAAUCAGAGUGAUGACCUCCACCAAACCUCGCUGCACUGCAAGAUGGAGCGCUGUCAUGUGCUCAGCAUCUGGGGUGUCUACACGGACUCCUGAAAUAACACAUAUUCUGCACCUGCCCAUCUUAGAGUUAACUUUCAUUAACAA
Molecule: long non-coding RNA, 354 nt
Organism: Scylla paramamosain (green mud crab)
Lineage: Eukaryota; Metazoa; Arthropoda; Malacostraca; Decapoda; Portunidae
Exons: 3
Source: RefSeq, a predicted model, not a curated record